RNAcentral lists this ribosomal RNA (253 nucleotides) under uncultured bacterium. RNAcentral's name for it is "partial 16S ribosomal RNA". It matches the Rfam family "Bacterial small subunit ribosomal RNA", at positions 524 to 776 of the family's 1533-position model. The record is from RNAcentral.
UACGGAGGGAGCUAGCGUUGUUCGGAAUUACUGGGCGUAAAGCGCACGUAGGCGGCUUUGUAAGUUAGAGGUGAAAGCCCGGAGCUCAACUCCGGAACUGCCUUUAAGACUGCAUCGCUUGAAUCCAGGAGAGGUGAGUGGAAUUCCGAGUGUAGAGGUGAAAUUCGUAGAUAUUCGCAAGAACACCAGUGGCGAAGGCGGCUCACUGGCCCGGUACUGACGCUGAGGUGCGAAAGCGUGGGGAGCAAACGGG